AGUGAGAGAUGUGAGGCCUUUUUCUGUAUAAACUUGAUAGAAAAUGUUGGGUUUAGGGCGACAAGAGUAGAGUCUCAUGUAGAUCUAGCUCUGCAUCAUGAGUCUAGAGUAGGCUAUGAAGAGAUCUUGGGAAACACUGAGUGAAAAAGAGAGAGUUUGAAAUGAGAACCAGGGGAUAUAAAAGAAAAGAAAGCGGUUUGGGGUCUGCUGUUUAAAGAAAGAAAAGCUCUUGUGUUUUGAAAAGGAAAGUCUAGCCUCUAAGUAAAAAUAAAAGAAAAGAAACCUAAAGGCUUAAGUGUUUGAAAAGAAAAGAAAAGAGGCUAGUUGUUGGGGUCGGUUUCCACCCUAGCUGAAUUAACCAUUUCGAAAUGACUAAGUGUCGGAAGAUGUCGACGAACCCGAGUUCUGUGAAGAAGCAAGCCGAGCCCAUCCAUAAAUCAGGAUGGGCCGAGCCCUGCUAUGACCGUGGGCCAAGCCCUUGAAGCAGCAUGG
This 492-nucleotide long non-coding RNA is filed under the name Eutrema salsugineum. Its description in RNAcentral is "long non-coding RNA (ESAL_LNC001297)". The record is from RNAcentral. Lineage: Eukaryota; Viridiplantae; Streptophyta; Magnoliopsida; Brassicales; Brassicaceae.